GACGAACGCUGGCGGCGUGCUUAACACAUGCAAGUCGAACGGAAAGGCCCUGCUUUUGUGGGGUGCUCGAGUGGCGAACGGGUGAGUAACACGUGAGUAACCUGCCCUUGACUUUGGGAUAACUUCAGGAAACUGGGGCUAAUACCGGAUAGGAGCUCCUGCUGCAUGGUGGGGGUUGGAAAGUUUCGGCGGUUGGGGAUGGACUCGCGGCUUAUCAGCUUGUUGGUGGGGUAGUGGCUUACCAAGGCUUUGACGGGUAGACGGCCUGAGAGGGUGACCGGCGAAAUUGGGACUGAGAUACGGCCCAGGCUCCUACGGGAGGCAGCAGUGGGGAAUAUUGCACAAUGGGCGGAAGCCUGAUGAAGCAACGCCGCGUGCGGGAUGACGGCCUUCGGGUUAUAAACCGCUUUCGCCUGUGACGAAGCGUGAGUGACGGUAAUGGGUAGAGAAGCACCGGCUAACUACGUG
Molecule: ribosomal RNA, 468 nt
Filed under: uncultured bacterium
Lineage: Bacteria
Description: partial 16S ribosomal RNA
Rfam family: Bacterial small subunit ribosomal RNA
Source: RNAcentral